AUUCUUUUAGUAUCAAGCAGUACAGCUGNNUUCCAAUCAGCUAGUUUCGGUCUAACCCGAAAAAGAAUA
This 69-nucleotide transfer RNA is filed under the name Bubalus depressicornis (lowland anoa). RNAcentral's name for it is "tRNA-Gly". The record is from RNAcentral. Lineage: Eukaryota; Metazoa; Chordata; Mammalia; Artiodactyla; Bovidae.